GCCGCCGUAGCUCAGCUGGUAGAGCAGCGGGCCCAUGACCCGUGGGUCGACGGUUCGAGUCCGUCCGGCGGCGCCA
This 76-nucleotide transfer RNA is filed under the name Candidatus Bathyarchaeota archaeon. RNAcentral describes it as "tRNA-Met". It matches the Rfam family "tRNA". Rfam says of the family: Transfer RNA (tRNA) molecules are approximately 80 nucleotides in length. The record is from RNAcentral. Lineage: Archaea; Thermoproteati; Candidatus Bathyarchaeota.